Stegostoma tigrinum is the source of this 279-nucleotide long non-coding RNA. RefSeq lists it as uncharacterized. The record is from RefSeq and is a predicted model, not a curated record. Lineage: Eukaryota; Metazoa; Chordata; Chondrichthyes; Orectolobiformes; Stegostomatidae. The transcript is spliced from 3 exons.
AGGGGCAUUCACUUAGUGAGUGGAAGAGGUUUGUUUGAAACAGACCGCAAUGGAGAGACCAGCGCCCAGGGAAGCGAGGGAGCAGCAGGCUCCUUCCGGCAGCGCAUCGACAUGAAAACACUUGCAGGAACAAGACAAUGUUAUGUGUGCUUGGUACGAAGCCAAGGGUGACCAGCUGCUUUGAACAACCAACAGAAAAAAACACUUGAAUGACCAAGACAAAGUAAGAUUUCUUCAGUGCAGAGGAAGUGUGACCAGAUCCUUCUGAUAAACAGCAGG